UUUCUCUAACACCAGUACUUUUACUUGUAACAGAGUAAUAUUUUAGCAAUGUAACAGUACUUGUACUUGAGUACAGAUUUUCAGUACUCUUUCCGCCUGUUAUGCACACAACACCUAAUUAGGCUCAUUCAUAAUGAAGCCAGCGGAGCAGUUAACGUUUGUUAAUUCUCUCAAUUUACGAAUUUUACUGUAUUUAAUUGUUAUUUGGUCAGGCAGUUCUUAGGACAUCUAUAAGGGGCCUGUAUGCAAAGGCCUUGUUUCGCGCUCAAAACGUUAGCAGUCCAUUCGGAAAGCACUGCUGCUAGCUGUGACUUCAAGGAGAACUUCUAUCAGACAUUCACAAAUUGAGGUGCACUGAAGAGUAAUGCAAUGACUCAAAAUGUGAAGUGGAAAUGGCGCUGUUGAAGUGGUUUACCGGCGCACGUGACCGUGGAGGGGAGAGGGCUGCAAGAGCCCAAAGAGAAAAAGGAGCGUCCCCCACACAGACGCUGAAAAGACUCUUGCCAUCCCACUCCUUUUCAACUCCGUUCCACUUUUUCAAGGAGGCUUUUGCUAUCUUCUGCCUGACCACGCCCACCUCACCUGUUGCCUAUAAAUUGAUUGUGAACCCUUUGGCUCAUUCUUUGCUCACUCUGCUGGCACUCCAAUGCAACCUGUCACACAGUAACUGCAAUGAAUCCACGUCACUCUGAAUGAUAAAUAAAAUACCACUGGUGCUGCAUUGAA
This is a long non-coding RNA of Perca fluviatilis (European perch), 726 nucleotides long. RefSeq lists it as uncharacterized. The transcript has 3 exons. NCBI's taxonomy places the organism in Eukaryota, Metazoa, Chordata, Actinopteri, Perciformes, Percidae. The record is from RefSeq and is a predicted model, not a curated record.